This 73-nucleotide transfer RNA is filed under the name Ovis aries (sheep). It matches the Rfam family "tRNA". From Rfam's summary of the family: Transfer RNA (tRNA) molecules are approximately 80 nucleotides in length. Lineage: Eukaryota; Metazoa; Chordata; Mammalia; Artiodactyla; Bovidae. The record is from Rfam by way of RNAcentral.
UCCCUGGUGGUCCAGUGGUUAAGACUCCACGCUCCCAAUGCAGGGGACCUGGGUUCGAUCUCUGGCCAGGGAA